RNAcentral lists this ribosomal RNA (426 nucleotides) under uncultured bacterium. Its description in RNAcentral is "partial 16S ribosomal RNA". It matches the Rfam family "Bacterial small subunit ribosomal RNA", at positions 354 to 796 of the family's 1533-position model. The record is from RNAcentral.
GUUAGGAAUCUUCCACAAUGGGGGCAACCCUGAUGGAGCAACACCGCGUGCUGGAUGAAGGCCUUCGGGUCGUAAACAGCUUUUGUAUACGAAGAAUAUGACGGUAAUAUACGAAUAAGGGUCGGCUAACUACGUGCCAGCAGCCGCGGUCAUACGUAGGACCCAAGCGUUAUCCGGAGUGACUGGGCGUAAAGAGUUGCGUAGGCGGCUUAUUAAGCGAGUAGUGAAAUCUGGUGGCUCAACCAUCAACACAUUGCUCGAACUGAUAGGCUUGAGAAUGGUAGAGGUAGUUGGAAUUUCUUGUGUAGGAGUGAAAUCCGUAGAUAUAAGAAGGAACACCAAUGGCGUAGGCAGGUUACUGGACCAUUUCUGACACUGAGGCACGAAAGCGUGGGGAGCGAACGGGAUUAGAAACCCCGGUAGUCC